GUCAGAAUGGCUGAGUGGUUUAAGGUGCCAGACUCAAGUUCUGGUUUCCAGAUGGAGGCGUGGGUUCAAAUCCCACUUCUGACA
This 84-nucleotide transfer RNA is filed under the name Danio rerio (zebrafish). RNAcentral's name for it is "tRNA-Leu (CAA) (tRNA-Leu-CAA-69-1, tRNA-Leu-CAA-69-2)". It matches the Rfam family "tRNA". Rfam says of the family: Transfer RNA (tRNA) molecules are approximately 80 nucleotides in length. The record is from RNAcentral. Lineage: Eukaryota; Metazoa; Chordata; Actinopteri; Cypriniformes; Danionidae.